UGUUCGUUUGAUGGACGCA
This 19-nucleotide non-coding RNA is filed under the name Arabidopsis thaliana (thale cress). The record is from RNAcentral. Lineage: Eukaryota; Viridiplantae; Streptophyta; Magnoliopsida; Brassicales; Brassicaceae.